This 481-nucleotide ribosomal RNA is filed under the name uncultured bacterium. RNAcentral's name for it is "partial 16S ribosomal RNA". It matches the Rfam family "Bacterial small subunit ribosomal RNA", at positions 28 to 507 of the family's 1533-position model. The record is from RNAcentral.
GACGAACGUUGGCGGCGUGCUUAAUACAUGCAAGUCAACUGAAGCAGUGGUAGCAAUAUCGCUGUGGAGGUGGCGCACGGGUGAGUAACACGUAGGUAAUCUGCCUUCAGGUCUGGCAUAACUCCGUGAAACCUGGGCUAAUAGCAGAUGAUGCAGCGGCUCGACAUCGAGACAGUUGUUAAAGCUAUGGCGCCUGAAGAUGAGCCUGCGUCUGAUUAGCUAGUUGGCGGGGUAACGGCCCACCAAGGCAACGAUCAGUAGCUGGUCUGAGAGGAUGAUCAGCCACACUGGAACUGAGACACGGUCCAGACUCCUACGGGAGGCAGCAGUAAGGAAUAUUGCUCAAUGGGAGAAAUCCUGAAGCAGCAACGCCGCGUGAGGGACGAAGGGCUUUUGCUUGUAAACCUCUGUAGUGAGAGAAAAAAAUCCCAAUCUUUGGGACAUGAUGGUAUCUCAAAAGUAAGCCCCGGCUAACUACGUG